Molecule: ribosomal RNA, 1408 nt
Filed under: uncultured bacterium
Lineage: Bacteria
Description: bacterial SSU rRNA
Rfam family: Bacterial small subunit ribosomal RNA
Source: RNAcentral
AGAGUUUGAUCCUGGCUCAGGACGAACGUUGGCGGCGUGCUUAACACAUGCAAGUCGAGCGGUUGAGAAGUGGGAGUUGAGAAGUUAGACGUGAGAGAAAGGUGAGUAACGCGUGGAUAAUCUGCCUGUAAGACAGGGAUAACGCCGGGAAACCGGUGCUAAUACCCGAUAAGCUCUUAGAUUCGCAUGGAUUGAAGAGAAAAGGUGGCCUCUUUACAAUGCUACCACUUACAGAUGAAUCCGCGUCCCAUUAGCCAGUUGGUGGGGUAAUGGCCUACCAAAGCGACGAUGGGUAGCCGGCCUGAGAGGGUGACCGGCCACACUGGAACUGAGAUACGGUCCAGACUCCUACGGGAGGCAGCAGUGGGGAAUCUUGCGCAAUGGGCGAAAGCCUGACGCAGCAACGCCGCGUGAGUGAUGAAGGCCUUCGGGUCGUAAAACUCUGUCCUAGGGGACGAUAAUGACGGUACCCUAGGAGGAAGCCCCGGCUAACUACGUGCCAGCAGCCGCGGUAAUACGUAGGGGGCGAGCGUUGUCCGGAAUUACUGGGCGUAAAGGGUGCGUAGGUGGCCUUUUAAGUUGGAUGUGAAGUUCGGGGCUCAACUCGGAGACUGCUCCUGAAACUGGUAGACUUGAGUGCAAGAGAGGGAAGUGGAAUUCCUAGUGUAGCGGUGAAAUGCGUAGAUAUUAGGAGGAACACCAGUGGCGAAGGCGACUCCCUGGACUGUAACUGACGCUGAGGCACGAAAGCGUGGGGAGCGAACAGGAUUAGAUACCCUGGUAGUCCACGCUGUAAACGAUGCUAGGUGUCGGGGGUAUCGACCCCCUCGGUGCCACAGCUAACGCAAUAAGCACUCCGCCUGGGGAGUACGGUCGCAAGACUGAAACUCAAAGGAAUUGACGGGGGCCCGCACAAGCGGUGGAGCAUGUGGUUUAAUUCGAAGCAACGCGAAGAACCUUACCAAGGUUUGACAUCCCCUUGACAGAUGCAGAGAUGUGUCCUCCCCUUCGGGGGCAAGGGAGACAGGUGGUGCAUGGUUGUCGUCAGCUCGUGUCGUGAGAUGUUGGGUUAAGUCCCGCAACGAGCGCAACCCUUACAGCUAGUUGCUACAUUAAGCUGGGCACUCUAAUGAGACUGCCGGUGAUAAACCGGAGGAAGGUGGGGAUGACGUCAAAUCAUCAUGCCCCUUAUAUCUUGGGCUACACACGUGCUACAAUGGUCGGUACAACGGGCAGCGAAAGAGUGAUCUGGAGCAAAUCCCAAUAAACCGAUCCCAGUUCGGAUUGUAGGCUGCAACUCGCCUACAUGAAGUUGGAGUUGCUAGUAAUCGCGAAUCAGAACGUCGCGGUGAAUGCGUUCCCGGGUCUUGUACACACCGCCCGUCACACCAUGGAAGUUGGUAAUACC